UGGCUCAGUGGUAGAGCGCUUGCCUUGCAUGCAUGAGGCCCUGAGUUCGAUUCCUUAG
Molecule: transfer RNA, 58 nt
Filed under: Dipodomys ordii (Ord's kangaroo rat)
Lineage: Eukaryota; Metazoa; Chordata; Mammalia; Rodentia; Heteromyidae
Rfam family: tRNA
About the family: Transfer RNA (tRNA) molecules are approximately 80 nucleotides in length. Their secondary structure includes four short double-helical elements and three loops (D, anti-codon, and T loops).
Source: Rfam by way of RNAcentral